RNAcentral lists this ribosomal RNA (492 nucleotides) under uncultured bacterium. RNAcentral's name for it is "partial 16S ribosomal RNA". It matches the Rfam family "Bacterial small subunit ribosomal RNA", at positions 30 to 507 of the family's 1533-position model. The record is from RNAcentral.
AUUGAACGCUGGCGGCAUGCUUUACACAUGCAAGUCGAACGGUAACAGGCCUUCGGGUGCUGACGAGUGGCGCACGGGUGAGUAAUACAUCGGAACGUACCCAGAGGUGGGGGAUAACGCAGCGAAAGCUGUGCUAAUACCGCAUGUGAUCUGAGGAUGAAAGCGGGGGACCGAGCAGCAAUGUUUGGCCUCGCGCCUUUGGAGCGGCCGAUGUCGGAUUAGCUAGUUGGUGGGGUAAAGGCCUACCAAGGCGACGAUCCGUAGCUGGUCUGAGAGGACGACCAGCCACACUGGGACUGAGACACGGCCCAGACUCCUACGGGAGGCAGCAGUGGGGAAUUUUGGACAAUGGGCGCAAACCUGAUCCAGCAAUGCCGCGUGCGGGAAGAAGGCCUUCGGGUUGUAAACCGCUUUUGGCAGGAACGAAACGGUGUCCGCUAAUACCGGGCGCUAAUGACGGUACCUGCAGAAUAAGCACCGGCUAACUACGUG